RNAcentral lists this ribosomal RNA (687 nucleotides) under uncultured bacterium. Its description in RNAcentral is "bacterial SSU rRNA". It matches the Rfam family "Bacterial small subunit ribosomal RNA", at positions 1 to 719 of the family's 1533-position model. The record is from RNAcentral.
AAUUCGAUUGAGUUUGAUCAUGGCUCAGAACGAACGCUGGCGGCAGGCCUAACACAUGCAAGUCGAACGCCGUAGCAAUACGGAGUGGCAGACGGGUGAGUAACGCGUGGGAACAUACCCCUCGGUUCGGAAUAACUCAGGGAAACUUGAGCUAAUACCGGAUACGUCCGAGGUUUUAAUCGACCUCGGAGAAAGAUUUAUCGCCGGAGGAUUGGCCCGCGUCUGAUUAGCUUGUUGGUGAGGUAAUGGCUCACCAAGGCGACGAUCAGUAGCUGGUCUGAGAGGAUGAUCAGCCACAUUGGGACUGAGACACGGCCCAAACUCCUACGGGAGGCAGCAGUGGGGAAUAUUGGACAAUGGGCGAAAGCCUGAUCCAGCCAUGCCGCGUGAGUGAUGAAGGCCUUAGGGUUGUAAAGCUCUUUUACCCGGGAAGAUAAUGACGGUACCGGGAGAAUAAGCCCCGGCUAACUUCGUGCCAGCAGCCGCGGUAAUACGAAGGGGGCUAGCGUUGUUCGGAAUUACUGGGCGUAAAGCGCACGUAGGCGGAUCUUUAAGUCAGGGGUGAAAUCCCGAGGCUCAACCUCGGAACUGCCUUUGAUACUGGGGAUAUAGAGUCCGGGAGAGGUGAGUGGAACUGCGAGUGUAGAGGUGAAAUUCGUAGAUAUUCGCAAGAACACCAGUGGCGAA